This is a non-coding RNA of Cinara cedri, 1115 nucleotides long. NCBI's taxonomy places the organism in Eukaryota, Metazoa, Arthropoda, Insecta, Hemiptera, Aphididae. The record is from the annotation of a GenBank genome assembly.
AAUACAAAUUAUUAGUAAUUUAUUGUUUUUAAUUAAACAAAGAAUAUUCUUAAUUAAACAUUAGUGUAAAUAUUAUUUAUUUAUUACAUGUUGAUAAGUAAUAACAUAUUAAAUAGAGUUUACAUUGAACAAAGCACGUAUUAGGUAUGAAAAAAUACCAGCUAAAUGAAUAAUGACAUUGACACAUACAAUAUCAUCUGUCUAUAAAUUACCAAUGGACAAUUUGUUAUAAAAAGAAUAAUGUUUUUUGGAAAAAAAAAUAAUAUACAGAUAAAAUUGCAGUUUUUUUACAGUAUUAAAGAUUUCAAAAUUUAAGAGAUUCUUUUGAUUUUUUACCAGAGCAUAGAUUCUUAUGNCAUACAAUAUCAUCUGUCUAUAAAUUACCAUAAUAUAUUAUGAUUGACAAUUUGUUAUAAAAAGAAUCAUGUUUUUUCGAAAAAAAAAAAAUAUACAGAUAAAAUUGCAGUUUUUUACAGUAUAAAAAGUAUCACUAUUUAAGAGAUUCUUUUGAUUCUUUACCAGAGCAUAGAUUAUUAUGGAUAUAUAUUCUUACUCCCAUCUACAGAGGAAAAUGCGAAAAUAUUAUUAAAUAGCGAAAUACUUUCGGCUUUGACAAUACAUACUCACGAUUUAUUCUCAUCCCAGGCGAACACAAAAUUAUGGAUUACAACUAAAUAUAUAAGGUAUACAAAACAAAAAUAAUUCUUAAAUCAGUUCGUAUAGUGAAUAUUAUGCACAUGUGACUGCAGUUUGGAGAAACUAUUUUAAAACAAUUUUAGUGGCCAAUUUCAAUAAAGAACCUGCACACUACCCAAUAAUCAAAUUUGAAAUACUUAAAAUGAUACUAAUAAGAUAGUACAAAAUUACUUUUUUUGAAACACUCAAUAAAUAGAAACAAAUAAGCCUCUCCAAAUCAAGUAAAUACUAAAUAGAUAUAUAAUAUAAUCAAUAUUAUGGGGACGUUAGCUCCCCUAAAAUAUUUAGGCUGUUUGCAGCAAUGACGAGAUCAGCUGCAGCAAUGGUAUUGUGACGGCCAUUCAAUCAGUAAGUAGGUACUUGACAAAUUCAGCUGCAUGAUUGCCCUGUAAAUUAGAAUCAUAUUAAUAUUAUGUACG